This 254-nucleotide ribosomal RNA is filed under the name uncultured bacterium. RNAcentral describes it as "partial 16S ribosomal RNA". It matches the Rfam family "Bacterial small subunit ribosomal RNA", at positions 524 to 776 of the family's 1533-position model. The record is from RNAcentral.
UACGGGGGGAGCAAGCGUUGUUCGGAUUUACUGGGCGUAAAGGGCGCGUAGGCGGUCGUGACAAGUCACUUGUGAAAUCUCCGGGCUUAACUCGGAACGGUCAAGUGAUACUGUCGGACUAGAGUACAGAAGGGGCAACUGGAAUUCUCGGUGUAGCGGUGAAAUGCGUAGAUAUCGAGAGGAACACCAGUGGCGAAGGCGAGUCUCUGGACGACACCUGACACUGAGGCACGAAAGCUAGGGGAGCAAACAGG